This 841-nucleotide long non-coding RNA is filed under the name Pogona vitticeps (central bearded dragon). RNAcentral describes it as "lncRNA (ENSPVIG00000015208.1)". The record is from RNAcentral. Lineage: Eukaryota; Metazoa; Chordata; Lepidosauria; Squamata; Agamidae.
GAUGUUCUGCUGUCUAUAGCAUCUGCUGAAUGUGGGUUUUAUCUGUUAAACAUCAGCAACACGUAUCACAACAGCAGAGGUACCGAAUCAAUUCAAGGAGAGUCGCCCCCACCCUCUCCCAUUCAUGCCUCCUCCAAAGCCGCUUGCAAAUUGCGGCUUUGUAGUUUCCCUGCGAUGGAGCAGUAGGACCCAGGGGCCUGCCACAGCUACCAAUAGAAGCCCAUACUUGGAUCUAUUUGUAUGCAAUGCUUUCUGCUCUGCGCAUUAAUGGUAAUACAGAUAACGGGUCUGAAAGAAUUCUCUUCUGAAGAAGGAUUUGAUUUUCCGAGGUCCUGAUAUUGGGAAGAAAUCCAGUUUCAUCCCUCUUGUAGAGUGAAAAGUCUCUUGAAUAGCUUGUCUGCUUGAACUCAAAAGAAGGUCUCUCUUUUCUCUGUGUGUGCGCGAGCCAAGGAAAGUUGCAAGGACUGUCUGAAUCAUGGAGCUGCUAGUUUUCUGACAUCCUCCUUAUCUGAGAGGAUAACAUUUCCAAAAGUGUUGUUGGACUGGUGUGAUGCAAGAACAGAAACAUCAUGAAAUGGAAACAUUAUUCUUUUACUGUCGUGGUAGCUGUACUCAGCCUGUCCUGGAUACAUCAGUUAUUGGCUCAGCUUAUUCCAGUGAUCCUCUGCUUCAGUAUGACAUUUAGAAACUGGUUCAUCACAACUUUUAUGCCAAAGUCUUCACAGAGAUAUAAUUGGGUGAGCUAUACCUUUUUUAAUGUAAAGCAACUGGGGAGGGGGGCAUUACACUUAAAUGACCUUGAACGUCCAAACAGUUUGCUUCCAAGAGACAUGAAAUUAGU